This 479-nucleotide unclassified non-coding RNA is filed under the name Hevea brasiliensis (rubber tree). The record is from RNAcentral. Lineage: Eukaryota; Viridiplantae; Streptophyta; Magnoliopsida; Malpighiales; Euphorbiaceae.
CUCAAGUGCCCGAUCUGGUAUAUGACCAGAACAAAGCCAGAAGAAAUUUUGGACUGUGAUCCGGAGAUAGACAGAACUCUAAAAGCUAUCAGGAGGGAAAGGAAACAUCAAGAGCACGGUCAAGGAGAUCCUGAAAUCCCAACCAUGGCCGAUAAUAAUGACAGACCAAGACUCCUGAGAGAUUACGGAGCUCCAUUUGUCCAAGGAUUUCAGCCUAGUGUCACUAGAUCCACAGUAGAAGCCAACAACUUUGAAUUAAAACCAGCAUGGCUCCAAAUGAUUCAAUAAACCCAGUUUGCAGGUUCACCAACAGAAGACCCAUACUAUCACCUCCAGUGCUUUCUUGCCCUAUGCGACACAUUCAGGAUGAAUGGAGUGUCUGAUCAAGUAAUAAGGCUCAAAGCAUUCCCAUUCUCCCUUCGGGAGAGAGCAAGAAAGUAGUUACUUUCUCAACCAGCUGGAACAUUCACUAAUUGGGU